Molecule: ribosomal RNA, 253 nt
Filed under: uncultured bacterium
Lineage: Bacteria
Description: partial 16S ribosomal RNA
Rfam family: Bacterial small subunit ribosomal RNA
Source: RNAcentral
UACAGAGGGGGCAAGCGUUGUUCGGAAUUACUGGGCGUAAAGGGCGCGUAGGCGGCCUUCUAAGUCGAACGUGAAAUCCCCGGGCUCAACCCGGGAACUGCGUCCGAUACUGGAAGGCUUGAAUCCGGGAGAGGGAUGCGGAAUUCCAGGUGUAGCGGUGAAAUGCGUAGAUAUCUGGAGGAACACCGGUGGCGAAGGCGGCAUCCUGGACCGGUAUUGACGCUGAGGAGCGAAAGCGUGGGGAGCGAACAGG